CACUCGUUAUCUGUCUCUCUCCUCUUUCCACAUACUGCUCUUUCUUAACGUAAGAAGGCAGAAGCAACAGUUAGUGGUCACAUGACCACAAGAGUCUUUCCUCAUUUCAGCGUCAGCUGGCUCCAAGCAGAUGUGAAAUCGAGGCAUGCAGAGCGAUUUCAGCAUGUGAAACAGGAGGCGAGGACAUCCCCCUCUAACGCUGUGCCAGAGAGGAAGAGAGAGAGCGAGCGAGAGCAGAGAGAGAGCCUGACUGAAACCCCAUAAUGCACCGCACGCUGCAGGGCUGAAGUCGUGCAGAUUCAUCAGUUCCUGUUCGAGGGGUUGUCUGUGAGCGCACACGCACUCAUACGCCCAGACCGAAGCAAGAAAAUACACAGACGUCCAGGCAGGUAAGACAGCUUUGCUCUGACCGCACAGAUAGCGCCGAGUUUUUCGAGAUCGUCUGUUUCUCUGUUCGCCCCUGCCAAGUGAGAAGAGAAGAGUGGCUCUAUACAGAUGCCAGGCUGUGAUUAAUAUUUGACAUGUUAUGAUCCCGACAACUUCUUUGCCUGUUGCUUGUGACUGCUGCUAAAUUCUGUCUCAAAAAACCUGAAACUAGGAUUAUUCAAGAGGAAGAGUAUAUUAAAUAGAGCGGAAUCAAAAUAGUUGAUAUGCCUGUGAUAUAUCCAUGUUAGUUUUUGGCUGUUACUUGGCUUGGUAUUUGCAUGUUUUUUUCCUUUGAUCUAGCAGAUUUGUUUAACUGUAGCCAGUUUGAAUACACUGGGGGCGAUUUUUGUGCGCGCUUGUGUUCAGAUAGUGCUGGUUAACAUGAUGAAACUUUCAGGAAAUUACAAACUGUAAAGCACUGUCAUUCUGGACAGUUAAAUUCAUCAGAUAAGCAGCGUAACAAGUUCAUUUUAUACUAAAACAGAUAUUUUUUUUAUUGGACAAAAAUAUAUUUAUCUAUUAAAAAGACAACAAUUAUACAGUUAUGUAAAACGUAUCAGUUUUUAAGGUAGUCUACUGUACAUGCCCUAAAUGACACUGUUGUAAGCUGACAGGUAAAAGGGUAGCUUUUGUUUUACGGGUCAUUUUGCGGUUUAACUGUCACAGAGGCUUGUGACCAUAUCUCUUGCGCCAGAGACUCAGGCAACCUGAAAAGCGCAAUUGCAUCACCUUAGCGCACACACUCUUAAACUUUUUAACCUCAGGACUCAACUGAGAAGUCUCCCCUCUGGGACUCAAGUGUAAAAUCAUGUUUCAACAAUGUUAAGUGGAAAGACAAAAAAACCCAAAAUCAGUCAGUAAAACUGCUUAUUUUGGAUUAAAUCAUAAUUCCAGAAAGACAUCUUUUGAAUGUGUUUUCUGAGGAAAACACACAAAAGAGCCCUCAAAGGAGCUAUGACACGAGGAACUAUAUUUGUGUAUCUUGCUCCUUUUGGAAACAAUUAUGUAGAUAUGGGAUCUGUUUUUGCUGAACAUUAACAGGCUAUGCAAAGAGCUUUUUGCAAAUAAAAUGUAAAAAAGGACAGAAAAAAAGAAACU
RNAcentral lists this long non-coding RNA (1524 nucleotides) under Oreochromis niloticus (Nile tilapia). Its description in RNAcentral is "lncRNA (ENSONIG00000041849.1)". Lineage: Eukaryota; Metazoa; Chordata; Actinopteri; Cichliformes; Cichlidae. The record is from RNAcentral.